CGGACGGGUGAGUAACGCGUGGGUAACCUACCCUGUACACACAGAUAACAUACCGAAAGGUAUGCUAAUACGGGAUAAUAUAUUUGAGAGGCAUCUCUUGAAUAUCAAAGGUGAGCCAGUACAGGAUGGACCCGCGUCUGAUUAGCUAGUUAGUAAGGUAACGGCUUACCAAGGCGACGAUCAGUAGCCGACCUGAGAGGGUGAUCGGCCACAUUGGAACUGAGACACGGUCCAA
This 235-nucleotide ribosomal RNA is filed under the name uncultured bacterium. Its description in RNAcentral is "partial 16S ribosomal RNA". It matches the Rfam family "Bacterial small subunit ribosomal RNA", at positions 99 to 334 of the family's 1533-position model. The record is from RNAcentral.